This 141-nucleotide ribosomal RNA is filed under the name uncultured eukaryote. RNAcentral describes it as "partial 18S ribosomal RNA". It matches the Rfam family "Eukaryotic small subunit ribosomal RNA", at positions 1299 to 1458 of the family's 1831-position model. The record is from RNAcentral.
UGGUGGAGUGAUUUGUCUGGUUAAUUCCGUUAACGAACGAGACCUCGACCUGCUAAAUAGUUCGGCGAAUUCCUCAGGAUUCGUACUGACUUCUUAGAGGGACUAUCGGUGCUUAGCCGAUGGAAGUUCGAGGCAAUAACA